Molecule: long non-coding RNA, 1363 nt
Organism: Sardina pilchardus (European sardine)
Lineage: Eukaryota; Metazoa; Chordata; Actinopteri; Clupeiformes; Clupeidae
Exons: 5
Source: RefSeq, a predicted model, not a curated record
CUCAAGGACACAGUGACAUUAGUGAUAGGACAUUCUUUGCCACACCACGAGACAUUGACAACAUCAGAACAUCAGUCAAACCUGGUGCAGUACGGCAAGCAGAUAGUGUUUGUGGACACCACCCACUGUGUCAACCAGUAUGACUUCCCCUUGCUUACACUCCUUGUAAGAGAUGGUCAUGGACGAGCAAUGAACAACAGACCACCUUAGAGCAGGUUCUUGAGCAACUGAGGAUACCGUUCCAGCACCCUCCCAGAGCAUUUGUGGUUGACAAAGACUAUGCUGAAAUUAAUGCUUUAUCAAGCAUUUUCCCUGAAUCUUAUAUCCUUUUGUGCUGGUAUCACUUCUUGCAGGCUGUUCAAAGAUGGUUAUCCAAAACAGAGUUUGGAGUGCAUGGACCUUCCAACUUGAACAUUGAAUUUCUUUCUUUUGCAAACUGAAGACCUGUAAAACUGAGGCAGAAUUUGAGACCACAGCCAAGAAGUUCAACAAAAUGUUCAGACAACACCCAGCUGAGUGGCAGUAUUUCACAAGACACUGGGAAGAGAUUGGUCACAUGUAGUCCGAUUACGGACGUUGCUUUGAGCAUUUGAACACUGAUACGAACAAUGUCAUUGAACGGCUCAAAUACCAGUUUCUUGGAGGCGUUAGGAAUCUGCGUAUACUGUAGAUGACCUAAUACAUGUCCUCCUUGAAAAAGCAGAUUACUUCAGCAUAAUGAGGGAGUUACAGUAUGCUGGGCGUGUGAAGAACAAAUUCAGCCACCCCCCCUCUUUGCAGACAGAAGCAACAACUGAAUGUGUUAACGACAGUUUGGCACCGAUUUCUUCACACAGUGCAGUGUCAUUGCCAACCUUAGCAAGUGGUACCCAUGUGUAACUACUGUUGAGAAAUUAGUGUUGCAAAAAUCAUCAGUAGCUGGACAGAAACUCCUGAUCCAAUAAAGGAAAUGAUUGAUGGGUUACAUUUUCAUGUUUUAGAGGCAGACAGGGGCAAAGAAAGCAAGGACCCCUACCCCGCCAUUAUCAAUGAUAACGGCAAGAAAAUCAUGCCAUUAUAUCCAUCUAGAAAACGCAAGGUAGACACCAGGUCGAUCUGCAAAGCCACAACACACCAACAGAGCCCAAAAAACCCUGAUUACCCCGUGAGAAAGCGAUCCAGAGGCUCAGUGAAGACUAAAAAAAACAAGGACUACUAGAAUGAGCAUAUUCUAAUCAAACACUUGGACUGUACCAAUUUUUGAAGUUUUGUUGUAUAUAUGUUUAUUUCUUUGACAAGCAAAUGUUACCCAAGAACAGGGUAAAAGAAGCUAAGCUAUCAUUAGAUUUUAAUGAUAAAAUCUAAAGCAAGUUGUUUACCUUUU